AGCCGCAGUACCCUGACUGUGCAAAGGUAGCAUAAUCAAUUCGGCUUAUAAUUGGAGUCUAGAAUGAAUGAAUUUAUGGGCAGAAACUAUCUUUAAUAAGAUAACUUAACUUACUAAAUAAGUGAAAAUACUUAUAAUCAAAUAAAAGACGAGAAGACCCUAGAAAUUUUUUAUAAUGUAAUGUUAUUAUACGUAUUUUGUUGGGGCGACAGAAUAACAAAGAACUUAUUUUAUUUCAUGUAUCAUUUUUUUAAAGUAAAAAUAAAUUACUCUAGGGAUAACAGCGUAAUUCUAUAUGAGUUUGUGACCUCGAUGUUGGACUAGGAACUUAUAUAUUCAGAAGAUAUAUAAUUUUGUUCUGUUCGAACAUUAAUUCCUACGU
Molecule: ribosomal RNA, 382 nt
Filed under: Bunnya sp. VAG-2017
Lineage: Eukaryota; Metazoa; Mollusca; Gastropoda; Stylommatophora; Humboldtianidae
Description: partial 16S ribosomal RNA
Source: RNAcentral